RNAcentral lists this long non-coding RNA (1042 nucleotides) under Anas platyrhynchos platyrhynchos (common mallard). RNAcentral describes it as "lncRNA (ENSAPLG00000019295.1)". Lineage: Eukaryota; Metazoa; Chordata; Aves; Anseriformes; Anatidae. The record is from RNAcentral.
CUCCGAGUCCCAAAUUUAUCUUGGAGAACUCAGCCGCCUGCCCGGGGAGGCUGACAUUUCUCAAAAAGUUGAUUCAGCUUGUUAAGGAGGAGAGAGGCUGGGCUGUCUCGGGGGACUGCGCUGCCUGCUUGCUCCGUCUGCAGCUGUGUGCAUGAGCGGGGGAACAAGCAGGCAGCUAACGAGGGCCCAGGCACAAACAACCCAGAGCCAGGAUGUGGGAGGAGGAGAAGAGACGGCGAAUUAGGCACUGGGGUUUCAAAGAAACCAAGGGAGAGAGGAAAAUGUAUAUACGAAGCUUUCCGGGCGUUAAGCUGAGGAGAGGAUUGGUCAGGAGGGAAAAGUGAACCAGAAAUGGCUUAGCUGUAGUUGAGAGUAGGGAACAAAAUGAUAAACCAUAAAUAAAUAAUAAUAAUAAAAAAAACCCUUUCUGAUUCCCUUAGGAAAAAGUCAUUGCCUUUUCUGACUCGGUUCCUGCAUCCUUAAAACAGGGAUCUGGACUGACCAGCCCUGCUGCAGAUCCCACAUUCGUGGCCUUGGAUUUCCAGCAGAACAAGCCUCUCCCUGUGCCAGAGGCACCUCGGCUUUAUGGUUUUUCAGUGUUACACUUUGCAGCACUGGCAGGUUUGCAGCCAAAUCCUUCUUGUGCAGAGCUAGCCUGACGCUGCGUGUGGCUCGCCUCCCGGCAGGCAGAAACGACGUCCAGGAGCAACCUUCUCCGUGCCACCACUGAUGGGGUGAAUCUAUGGAGUUAACUGCUCCCGAGGGUACUCACAGCGAGAUGCAGGCUUCUCUGGCUGCAGAAAUCAUGACCCAGAGCAUGGUUGAAGGCAGAGCAUCUUCCUCUUCUUGCCACCAAGCAGCAGCACCUAACAGGACAACAAGUGUCAUCUUUUUCAGGCCCACCCGAAGACCAGCACGUCUGCUGGAUAUUCUCCGAGUGACAGCAUUUUCUCCGAGUGAGAGCACAGACAAGAAGAGUCUGAACAGGAGUCAGAUCUGUAGCUGUCCUAAACAAGAGCAACACCAUCAGUGUCAAGCUUGA